RNAcentral lists this ribosomal RNA (495 nucleotides) under uncultured bacterium. Its description in RNAcentral is "partial 16S ribosomal RNA". It matches the Rfam family "Bacterial small subunit ribosomal RNA", at positions 28 to 506 of the family's 1533-position model. The record is from RNAcentral.
GAUGAACGCUGGCGGCGUGCCUAAUACAUGCAAGUCGAGCGAACAGAUGAGGAGCUUGCUCCUCUGACGUUAGCGGCGGACGGGUGAGUAACACGUGGAUAACCUACCUAUAAGACUGGGAUAACUUCGGGAAACCGGAGCUAAUACCGGAUAAUAUAUUGAACCGCAUGGUUCAAUAGUGAAAGACGGUUUUGCUGUCACUUAUAGAUGGAUCCGCGCCGCAUUAGCUAGUUGGUAAGGUAACGGCUUACCAAGGAACGAUGCGUAGCCGACCUGAGAGGGUGAUCGGCCACACUGGAACUGAGACACGGUCCAGACUCCUACGGGAGGCAGCAGUAGGGAAUCUUCCGCAAUGGGCGAAAGCUUGACGGAGCAACGCCGCGUGAGUGAUGAAGGUCUUCGGAUCGUAAAACUCUGUUAUUAGGAAAGAACAAAUGUGUAAGUAACUAUGCACGUCUUGACGGUACCUAAUCAGAAAGCCACGGCUAACUACGU